AACGAACGCUGGCGGCAGGCCUAACACACGCAAGUCGAACGAACCCCCCUUCAAGCGAGCUUGAAGGAGUUUUAAAAAGAGUUUUCAAGAAAGCCCAAAGGCUUUCUUGAUGGGGGGUGAGUGGCGCACGGGUGCGUAACGCGUGGGAAUAUACCCCCAGGUAAAGAAUAACUGCUGGAAACGGUAGCUAAUACUUUAUAAUGACUUCGGUCCAAAGAUUUAUCGCCUAGGGACUAGCCCGCGUCUGAUUAGUUAGUUGGUGAGGUAACGGCUCACCAAGACGAUGAUCAGUAGGGGGUCUGAGAGGAUGAUCCCCCACACUGGUACUGAGACACGGACCAG
RNAcentral lists this ribosomal RNA (342 nucleotides) under uncultured bacterium. Its description in RNAcentral is "partial 16S ribosomal RNA". It matches the Rfam family "Bacterial small subunit ribosomal RNA", at positions 29 to 334 of the family's 1533-position model. The record is from RNAcentral.